GUAAUACAUAAGUAACCUGCCCUAGACAGGGGGAUAACUAUUGGAAACGAUAGCUAAGACCGCAUAGGUACGGACACUGCAUGGUGACCGUAUUAAAAGUGCCUCAAAGCACUGGUAGAGGAUGGACUUAUGGCGCAUUAGCUGGUUGGCGGGGUAACGGCCCACCAAGGCGACGAUGCGUAGCCGACCUGAGAGGGUGACCGGCCACACUGGGACUGAGACACGGCCCAGACUCCUACGGGAGGCAGCAUG
RNAcentral lists this ribosomal RNA (252 nucleotides) under uncultured bacterium. RNAcentral describes it as "partial 16S ribosomal RNA". It matches the Rfam family "Bacterial small subunit ribosomal RNA", at positions 110 to 353 of the family's 1533-position model. The record is from RNAcentral.